AUAUUUUAGUAAGAAUUGUUGUAUAGGUCAAUUAAUAUGGUAUUGACGUUUCUACAGGUUCACCUUAAAUGGACCUACUACAGCGCUAAAU
RNAcentral lists this non-coding RNA (91 nucleotides) under fish gut metagenome. RNAcentral describes it as "Purine riboswitch". It matches the Rfam family "Purine riboswitch aptamer". From Rfam's summary of the family: Riboswitches are metabolite binding domains within certain messenger RNAs that serve as precision sensors for their corresponding targets. Allosteric rearrangement of mRNA structure is mediated by ligand binding, and this results in modulation of gene expression. A class of riboswitches that selectively recognises guanine and becomes saturated at concentrations as low as 5 nM. The record is from RNAcentral.